RNAcentral lists this ribosomal RNA (297 nucleotides) under Triticum aestivum (bread wheat). Its description in RNAcentral is "partial small subunit ribosomal RNA". It matches the Rfam family "Eukaryotic large subunit ribosomal RNA", at positions 1890 to 2184 of the family's 3401-position model. Lineage: Eukaryota; Viridiplantae; Streptophyta; Magnoliopsida; Poales; Poaceae. The record is from RNAcentral.
AUGGAACAAUGUAGGCAAGGGAAGUCGGCAAAACGGAUCCGUAACUUCGGGAAAAGGAUUGGCUCUGAGGACUGGGCUCGGGGGUCCCGGCCCCGAACCCGUCGGCUGUCGGCGGAUUGCUCGAGCUGCUCACGCGGCGAGAGCGGGUCGCCGCGUGCCGGCCGGGGGACGGACCGGGAAUCGCCCCUUCGGGGGCUUUCCCCGAGCAUGAAACAAUCGACUCAGAACUGGUACGGACAAGGGGAAUCCGACUGUUUAAUUAAAACAAAGCAUUGCGAUGGUCCUCGCGGAUGCUGA